UAUAAUAUACUAAUCGUAGAGUAAGCAUAGGUAGUUACAAAUUUUAUAACAAAUUUGAGGAAAGUCCGGUCUCCUUUUAGAGAAAUAUAGCUAUAUAGAAAAUAGUGUAGGUAACUAUGAGGACAGUGCCACAGAAAUAAACCGCCUUAGCAUAAUUAUAGGUAAGGGUGCAAAGAUGCAGUAAGAGCGCAUCAGUAAUAUUAUAAAGAUAUUAGCUAGGUAAACCCCAUAUUAGGAGUAAAGUGUUCUUUUAAUUUUUAUAAUCUAUAGUUAUUAAUUAUCAUGAAUUAUAUUUUGAAUCUGCGGGAAGUAAGGUGAAAAAAAUGCCUUUACUCUAGAUGAAUAACUGCCCUUUAUAUAACUUUUCUUUUUGUAUUAUAUAAAGAACAAAAUCCGGCUUAUGACUUACUUAUUCAA
Molecule: RNase P RNA, 417 nt
Filed under: Kappaphycus alvarezii
Lineage: Eukaryota; Rhodophyta; Florideophyceae; Gigartinales; Solieriaceae
Also listed under: 1 other name
Rfam family: Bacterial RNase P class A
About the family: Ribonuclease P (RNase P) is a ubiquitous endoribonuclease, found in archaea, bacteria and eukarya as well as chloroplasts and mitochondria. Its best characterised activity is the generation of mature 5'-ends of tRNAs by cleaving the 5'-leader elements of precursor-tRNAs.
Source: RNAcentral